AAGGCGAGAAAACCCAUGAAGAAGAGUUUAUGGGGAACGCGAUGUUGUCCACGCCUCUCAUCUACCAAUCAAAGCUUCUCUGUUUCUCUCUGUUAUACCUCUUCUCCACUCUGUUUUUAGCUCUCUACACCUCUCUCCACCCUACCAAAUGCCUCUUCAGAUCAUCUCCUUUCGAUCCCAUCCAGGUUCCUCUCUUCUCUUACCCUCCCACCUAUGGAGAACACAAGUAUGCCAUUCCCACCAAUCGCAACCAUUGUUCCUCCCCUGUUUAUUUCUCUGAUUAUUGGAUUGCAUUGCAAGAGAUCCAAGAUUUAUGUCGGAAUUCAACUGUAUCUUCCCAGGGUUUGAGGUAUAUGGAAGGAAACGGUGAGAGUUUCGGUGGGAAUUUUAGUAACCAGAAGAGGAUGUCCUAUUUUCAUCAUUUAAAUGAUAGCGUGGAGAUUCCUUGUGGGUUCUUUAAGAAGUUUCCAGUCAGUGAUUCUGAUAGAAUGACAAUGGAGAGCUGUAAUGGAGUAGCUGUAGUCUCGGCAAUCUUCAAUAACCAUGACAAAAUCCGGCAACCAAAAACCCUUGGUUCCAAAACACUAGAUAACGUGUGUUUCUUCAUGUUUGUGGAUGAUAUAACCCUAAAAGAACUAAACCAUCAUCAAUUAAUAUCAAGAGAAUCCUUUCAAUAUAGUGUAGGUGUGUGGAGAAUUCUUAAGGUUUCAAGCACGCACUUGUAUGAAAAUCCAGCCAUGAAUGGAGUAAUACCUAAAUACUUGGUUCAUAGACUUUUUCCAAACUCGAAAUUUAGCAUUUGGAUAGAUGCAAAGCUGCAACUAAUGGUGGAUCCACUAUUGUUGAUCCACACAUUAGUUGUAUCAAAGAAAGUGGACAUGGCGAUAUCGAAACAUCCAUACUUUACACAUACAAUGGAAGAAGCAUUGGCAACUGCAAGGUGGAGGAAAUGGUGGGAUAUUGAUGCUUUGAGGUUACAAAUGGAGACAUAUUGCGAGAAUGGAUUGGAGCCAUGGACACCCACUAAACUCCCCUAUCCUUCAGGUAAACAAGACUCUUAAAUCUUCGUUCUUCAUUGCUUCACAUUAUUUAUGAAUUUCUUUUUCUUUUCUUCUUGUGGCGUUUGAAAGGUAAACAAGUGCUAAAAUGGUUCUUGAUUCCCCUGAACUAAUUUUGGUUUUAACAUGUCAUGAGUCAGCGAUGCACUUGUUUAUGAUUCCUUCUUUCAGUAGGAAAAGGAGAAGGAAAAUUGUUAGGCUUGAUCUUGAAGUUUCAUGGAGUAAUCAUUGCAAUGAUAAUGUUUAAGAAAGAAUCUCCAACAGAUCUUCUCUAGUGGAGGGUCGUUUGAGAAAUAAUUGUGCUUUAAGUGAAUAAUGACUGCGUAGAUAGUUUCCUCAAAGUGAAUUUUCUUCAUCAUUGUCUAUUGAGUCAUGCUAAUAGAACCUGAGAUUAAAAGGUUGCACUAGCUAGUUUUAGGGUCUGUUUAGUAUUACUGUUAAAAUUGUUGUUGAAAAAAUUAGCUUUUUAAAUAUAUUAGUUAGAAAGUAUUAAAAAUUGAUUUUAAAAUUAAAUUUGAUAUGUUUAAGUCAUAAGAAUACCAAAACAACUAAACGGUUUUUCUCAACAGCAGUUAGAAUGAUGCUUUUUCAAAAAAUGCUUUUUUUAACCACCCAACUGCAACCCCAAACAGAUACGUGUCAUGGGACUAGGAGUUUCUUUGAUUAAUUCUAGUGGCAAUAUUCCUCAAGUAUUA
RNAcentral lists this unclassified non-coding RNA (1753 nucleotides) under Hevea brasiliensis (rubber tree). The record is from RNAcentral. Lineage: Eukaryota; Viridiplantae; Streptophyta; Magnoliopsida; Malpighiales; Euphorbiaceae.